UACGAAGGGGGCUAGCGUUGUUCGGAAUUACUGGGCGUAAAGCGCGCGCAGGCGGUCUUCCAAGUCAGUGGUGAAAGCCUGGAGCUCAACUCCAGAACUGCCAUUGAAACUGUUAGACUUGAGUACGAGAGAGGUGAGUGGAAUUCCCAGUGUAGAGGUGAAAUUCGUAGAUAUUGGGAAGAACACCAGUGGCGAAGGCGGCUCACUGGACCACAACUGACGCUGAGGCGCGAAAGCUAGGGGAGCAAACAGG
This 253-nucleotide ribosomal RNA is filed under the name uncultured bacterium. Its description in RNAcentral is "partial 16S ribosomal RNA". It matches the Rfam family "Bacterial small subunit ribosomal RNA", at positions 524 to 776 of the family's 1533-position model. The record is from RNAcentral.